AACUACCCUGCUGGAAAUGGAAAUACUGUCUGCACAGCCAUGAAAGAGAGAGGAACAACUUCACCAGAGGAGGUGGGGAGAGGCAGAGAGGCACACAAAGACUCUGUGAAAGUCACAGUCACUCCCAGAGAGGACUGCUAAGGAGAAACCAGUCUUGCAGGCAGGCAAACUAAAGCAAGGCACAGCAGAUAACUACUCUGUGUGCCACUGCCACAGACCACAAAGAAGAGACCAGGGAAGCAAAGGAAAGCAAGACUUGGCUUUAGUGGCAUCUCAGUUUUCCUCCACUCCAUGUGUAGAGAACCAGCGGCACUCAAGGAAUUAUCUCUCCUAACACUAAUUUCCACCUGACUGCUAACCUCUGGUGUGAGGAUUCUUCCUCUGGAUGACGUACUGAACGCUUCAGCAACAAAUGAAAACCCUCAUUUCUUCCCUAAAGGAGUUACAUGUCACCUCAUAACUGGUCUGCUUACUUCUGUCUUGGAAACGUUUUGCCAGUGUGACCGGGCUUUGCUGAGUGCAUGAAAACAACAAAGCCUUUCACAGAAUGGAUGCCAGAGAAGAGACACUGGACCUCCUGAACAAGAUAUGGGUCAAGCUUCAGGGUUUGCCCAAUGCCACCCCUGUGGAGCUGGGAGCUUUCUUUGUCAUCCUAACCUUCAUCUUGGUGGUCCUGCUCAUGAUGGUGCUGACAUGUGUGACCUGCUGCUGCUGUCGCAAGACAAAGACGAAGGGGUCGAAUAUUUGAGCACACCCCGCAAGGAAACCUAACAGGACAUGGUGGAAAACAUCCUCGAGAGUUGUGGUCAUACAGUCAAAGGGAUAACAUUCUAGACAUUAUAGUUGGGCACUAGAGGAGCCCAACCCUUGAACAACAAAGCAACUGACAAACACAGAGACAGACGUCCUGACUGUCUGCCAAACACGCCCGCUGCAGCUGCCAGGUUUUCAGGAGAAUCUACAUUCCCUGGAGCAUCCCUGCCUGUGCUACACAACAAAACCUCUGACCUGAUGAAAGGCAGGGCUAAUCCAGAGAAUCUUUAAUUAUGUCAGAAAAUACAUCAAAUAAGAUCUACAAAAAUGUAUAGAAUAAUCAUAAACUCUGCAGCAAGUUGCACAGUGAGAUACGAAGAAAAAAGGUAAAUUUGUUGUUAAUAUUUUUCUACACUUAUGUCUAUGUGUGAUUUGAUUCUAUGGAUGAGAUUUGGCAGUCAGACUAGGAGGAAAGAUCCUAGUAUGGGGUAAGAGUUUCCUGACACUUCAUCAAGGCAUAGAUGAGAGAUCAAGUCUGCCCUCUGCUGCACAUAAACUGGAAUGAAUGGUGAUUUUAUUUUGAAAAGCAGAGCAUAUAAUCAAGUUCUGUUUCAUGUAUAAAACUACAAGUGAUGCAUGUGCAAAAGAGUGAGGACAUGAUGUAAUGGUCUGAUACUCUGUUUCUACACUUGACUUCAUGCAAUAAACAAAAAGUUACUUGCACGCA
Long non-coding RNA from Scatophagus argus, 1480 nucleotides. RefSeq lists it as uncharacterized. The record is from RefSeq and is a predicted model, not a curated record. Lineage: Eukaryota; Metazoa; Chordata; Actinopteri; Scatophagidae. The transcript is spliced from 3 exons.